AAGUAUCUCCGAAUCUUGCCUUCGAUGGGGGAGAUAGGAGUAACGGCUGGUUGGCACAGCCAUCGACGUACCUGUUUGACAAGGAAACUGGCGCAUUCGCGCCUCAAGAACGGGUCACGUCGUAAACCACAAUAUCCCAAUGCGGUCGGGAAUCCUCGCGCUUCAGCGCGGGGA
RNAcentral lists this non-coding RNA (174 nucleotides) under Natronolimnobius baerhuensis. Its description in RNAcentral is "Sense overlapping transcript RNA 0042 (sot)". It matches the Rfam family "Sense overlapping transcript RNA 0042 (sot)". From Rfam's summary of the family: It is associated with IS1341-type transposase (tnpB) genes, at the 3'-end in H. salinarum NRC-1. The record is from Rfam by way of RNAcentral. Lineage: Archaea; Methanobacteriati; Methanobacteriota; Halobacteria; Halobacteriales; Natrialbaceae.